Molecule: long non-coding RNA, 7069 nt
Filed under: Homo sapiens (human)
Lineage: Eukaryota; Metazoa; Chordata; Mammalia; Primates; Hominidae
Description: non-protein coding lnc-FAM20C-3:11
Source: RNAcentral
ACAGAAGCCUCAUGCAUCUUGACCAGGACGGUGGAUGCAUGGCUUACAUUGGUCACAACUUGUCAACUUGUAUGACUGAAAACUGAACAUCACAUUGAAUUGGACUCAAAGGCAAGACCUGAGGCAAAAUUCAUGUAAGGAGGGAGUUUGGGCGAAGCUUGAGGACUGCUGCCCGGAAGCGUAGAUUCAAGUUGCCCUGAAUACACCUCCUAUUAGCAGCUGUUACAGGUUCAGAAAAAGGAUGGAGGUAGAAAGUCCUCUCUCCCAAACACUAUGAUUGACACUGCAGAGUUCUGCAACUCUCGUACGAGGGAGAUUUCAUGAUGAUCUCAGUAACCGAUCAGAGAAUCAACGACUGACUUCGCUGAGGCACGGUGAUGAAAAGGUCAAGGUGGUCUGGUCUGAGUGAAGUCACAGCAAGAACCCUUGUCCAGGGCCAUUCUCACCUUUGGGGACAGCUCCUUCCCUGUAUGGUCCUCAUGUCACUGCACUUUCCUGCCUUGUUUCUUGCUGAAGCCAUUAUUUCUUAAUUCCUUAGUAGAUAUGCAGAGCGGACAUCCCAAAGAAGCUAGAAAAAUUGAUGAGCAGGGAACAGAUCAAAUCCUCUCCAUCAGUGGAAGGCAAUUCACGAGGGAAGAAGGCAAGACCAUGGGGUAAUUUUUCUGAGACUUGACAAUGUUUGCCAAGUAAAUAAAUCUGCCAUUUAACACUACGAUAAAAGCUGUCAUAGCCAGGGUAUUAGUGACUACUUGAGGUUUGAGGACAAUGAAGACAGAGUAAGAUAAACAUCCUUACUAUCCAGAAAAAAAAAACGGAACCAGAAGACAGCGCUUCUUACUAUCCACAAAAGAAAUGGAACCGCAAGACAGCCCUUCUUAUUUUUCUCCAUCUUCGAUGGUGAGGAAGAAUAAAAAAAAAGUUGCUUUUAAAGUAUAUUCAUUAAAAUCAAAUUCUAUUAUCAUACACACAAAAUAUUUACGUGAAACCAGCCACAAAAGAAUGACAAGGAACGCUACUGAUUUGUCCAUUCUGGGGGAUAAGAACACAGAUUCUUAUCUCACUCUUGUUAAAAGAAAACUUCAGCUGAAUUAAAUUUAAAGGAGUUUAAUUGAGCAAUGAAUGAUUUGCACAUCGGGCAGCCCCCAGAAUUACAGCAGAUUCAGAGAGACUCCAGUGCAGCCACGUGGUGGAAGAUUUAUAGACAAAAAAAGGGAAGUGAGGUAGAGAAACACCUGGAUUAGUUACAGGUUGGCAUUUGCCUUAUUUACACACAGUUUGAACAUUCAGCAGUGUAUGAGUGAUUGAAGUACGGCUGCUGGGACUGGCCGAGACUCAGCAAUUGUGACAGGUACAUACUCCUAAUUUAGGUUUUCAAUCUUGUCUACCUAUUAAGUUAGGCUCAGUUUGUUCACAGGGACUCCAAUACAGAAGUACGGAGUCCUUCUCAGGCCAUAUUUAGUUCGCUUUAACAAUUCCCCCUUUUUGGUCAUUUUAUCAGUUUUGAGAGAUUGAUCGAAACUUGAGUUAUUGAUGUCACUGUCACCAUUGGUCUUGAAACCCACUAGGAAGCAGAACAGUGAGUUUUGCAAAGGUAGGAACAAGGACUGAGUUGAGGAUACCACCUUAUGCUGGAAAGUCCUGUUUGCAAGAGAAAAACAAAACCUGGUCUAUUCUAGGACCCAUGUGUUUCCUUAAAGUCUUAAUUCGAUUAUGUCACAUUUAGCACGAAUGAUGCCAUUUUGGUUCGGUUUGGUCUGUUGGGACCUAGUGCUCAGUCCAAAACAAUGGCCUCCCAUCAUUUUGUUUAAAAAAUUCCCCCUUUGUCAGGUUGUCACUUAGGCAAGAGUGUGACCAAAACUUAGGAUGUUAGCGCCACUCUCCGUUACUAUCAUUUUGGAUUUCCAGUCUCAGCAUGUCACUCAUCGGUUUCGGUGUCCUCGUGGUCACACAUUUCUUUCAGCUCUUGUCAUUCCAGUUGAAGAGAGACCAUCUGACGUUCUAAAGAUGGCUUCAUGCAAACAUUUAAAACCUUUGAGAGAAUACAGUGCACCAGGGAGACUAUUCUUAUGACUACUGAGAGGGUUAACACCAAGAAUUUGGAGUAUGCUCCUUAGCCAGGGUCCCCAUAAACCAGACCACCUAAACUCAAAUAGACCAUUCUUUGACUUAACUCAGUGGUCUUUUCGUUAAUUCCCUACAACAGACUCUCUAUAACACCUGAUGUUUUCUCCAUAGGCCUUAAGUGCCAGCAUCUGCACAGGUACUUUCCUGUUUAGCCAAUUCUAUUUUUUAGCAAAUGAUGCCCUUCUAGAAGAGGGAAGGCCUCUUGGCAAUGGUCUCUUUAACCCAUGCUGUGGGUUAAGAGGAGUGAACCAAUGUUCUGCUUCUGAAUGAUUAUGAGGCACCAUAUGUACCAUUGAAGUUUCUCACCUAUGAUACACUGGGCCUUCAUCUUUAUCUAUCAAGUUAUAAGAUUAUCCAUGUAUAAAGCUGGCUGCAAAGCCCUUCACAAAUAAAAGUAUACCCCAUAAGUGCACAAAACAGACCCCCUUCUCACUUCUGUUGUUCACAGAGGCGGAAGCAACGGAAAAACAUUCAAAGAUAAGAGUCUCAUGAUAGUAAGAAGUCUUGAUCCAUGAUCUUCAGAAAGAGCUGCUCACAUCAAGGAUGCCAUCUUCUUCUGGGGAGAAACUUCCCUGAUUAGCUUUACCUUAAGGGUUUCAAUGGAUGUAGAGUUCCAAGAGUGACCCUGCUCAGUUGUGAGAUUAUGACCCCAAGGUUCAAGAUCCUGAUGUUUUGUUGCAGUGAUGAUGCCAAGGGCAGCGUUUCUCUGAUGUUCUCAGAAGAUCCCAUCUUUGGGUUCUAGAUUGUGAAGGGGUUGAUUGUCCUCAGUGAACCAUAAAAAGCUCUUUACCUGGUGAAAAUACACUGAUACAUAGUAAUCUACUGUUAUAACAUUAGCCCUCCUGCAUGGGAAAGCUUUAGUACAACCAGAACACAUACAUUGAAAAUGACAACUGAAUGAAACCCCUUUAUAAAUGUUUAAAUGCCUCAUCAGGUAGCCAAAUGUACAUGAAGCUUUGAUUGACUUCCCAGGAGUAUGGGUUUGACAAACUAAACAUUGUUUAUAAACUAUUUUAACAAUCUGUAAGUCACCACACCAACAUAUUUAAUUUGGAUCAUUUUAUCUUUUCCAGGAUGAGUCAUGGAAUGCAUAACUUUUAAUAACAAAAGCUUUAAGGACUCACGAAGGACAAGGCAGCCAUCUUGGUUCUCCAUGAGUCCAUGCUUAACAUCGGACUUAUGUCCUCUUGGGUGCCAGUUGUUUCUCCAAAUUGGGCACAUAGCAUGGAUAACUGAUGGGUUAUCACAGGGGAUGGAAAAAUCUCAACAAAAAAGGAGCGCAGAAGAGCCUGGCUAGGCGGGAGAACACGGUCAGGCCCGCAGGAGACGCCGCGGCACCUGCCAGAAAGAGAGCCGCAGGCCAAGACCAGGAGACGCGAGAGAGGUGGGCAGGGCUGCCCGAGAGACCCAGGCGGCCAUUGCCCGCCCUGCGUCUGCGCCUGCGCCGGAGCCUCCUCCACACUGCGCCAGCGCCGAGUCCGGCCGCCUCCUCAUUGCGCCGGCGCCGGGGCUUCCUCCACACCGCGCCUGCGCCGAUGACAACCCGCCUCUACAGGACGCCUGCGCAACGCCAUAGUCACCUCAUCAGCUCCGUGCACUUACGAGUCUCUCUCUGAUCGACCACGUGUUCCUGUCGGCUCACAGAGGCCGCCUCAGGGUCCUCCCCCAUUGUCUUCCUCGCACCCUCCACUGUUCCCGGCCCUUCACUCUGCGCUUGCGCAGGAGUCGCUCGCUCCUCUCUGCGCCUGCGCAGAGGCCACCUCCUCCCCGCCCGUCCGCUCCCUUGGCGUCGUCUUGGGCCGCGCCCCGACCCCUUCUGUUUACGCAUGCGCAGGAGCCGCCCUGCGCGGGUGGGGGGCUGAGCCCCUGUGGCUUCAGGUUUAAAGGCGCGAGCGCCACCCACGCAGGCACAAGGGCUCCUAGUCGUUUUAUUUUUAGCGUAAGGUUUUCCUCUUUAACAAGGAAGUAAAAAAAAAAGUUGUGCAAUAAAUAUUAAUCGUCCUUAUAUGUACUCGGGAACGUUCGUCCUUUAGGUUUUCUCCUGGCGCAUGGGCGCCGCCAAUCAUUUCGGGGCUUAUUUUGGUUCUAAAGCCCGGGGCAGCCAGGCCUCCCUGCCUGGCCUCGGCGGGGACGCGGGACCUGGGGCCCCGGACCGGGCCUAACCGCCCUGGCCGGUCCCCACUGAUGGUGGCGGUCGGUCCUGAUCGUCCUGAUGGCAGCGACCAGGCUGGACUCGGGCUGUGCAGGGGCGAGGGGAGCAGGGCGGGGUGACGCCCGGAGAGCGGCCUGGAGAGCGCGUGCUUCAGAAGGCGUGGGCACCCUGUCCCCUUUGCAGAUGGGGAUGCAGGCCCUGGUGGCGGUGGAGGGGAGAUGGGGGCAGGGACGUUGCCGGGCAGAGGAAGCUGGGCCAUUCCUGGGGGAUUCCUGGGAGCCAUGUGGGAGAGGCGUGAGGAAGUGAGACCUUCACCCCGAGACAGGUCCUGACACACCCUCUGGUGCCUCUACUCAAGUGAGAAGUUUGGCUGCUGUAACUGACUGGGAAGCUUAAAAUAACAGACAAUCAUCUCUCACAUUUAUGGGGACUGGGAAGUCCAAGACCAAGUUGCCAUCUGGGGAGGGCCUGUUCCUCACAGCGCCUUCCAGCUCAGGCCUCGUUUAUAAGGGCACUCAAGCCUUCCACGACAACGGGUCCUCAUGACUUACUCACCUCGGAAAGCCCCACCCCCAAGACCAUCACAUUGUGGGUGAUGGCAGAGCAUAAGGUGCCUUCCCCACAUGCUCGGGUUGGCCCAGCGUCUCACGCUAGCAGCUACGUGGAAUAGUUAUUUUUUCUGGAGAACUCUGGGACCCCUCUGAUGUCUUGGAGCACCCACACAGGCCGUUCACUGUGCACGCUGUGAGGCUGUCGUCUUGGAGCACCCACACAGGCCGUUCACUGUGCACGUGGUGAGGCUGUCCUCUGGGGAGUUCUGCUGUUGUAUGGGUUCUGUCUGUGUCAAUGUCCCAGCGGGAACGCAGGGCACACUAGCGUCAUCCCCAGAGGGCUUGGUAAGGGGACUGUUUGCAGAGACAUAGGCAGAGGGCUGGAAAACUACCAAAAAAGUGCAGUGUUCUGGACCUAAUAAUAGCAGAGCUAUUCUCACCCUGGUCUGAAGGCAGGAGGGGAGGAGCAGUUAAUGGAUUCUGGAAGUCAGGUUGCACAGAGUCACCUUGAAAGAUGCCAUGACCUUCACCGAGGGCCAGACAGAGACUAAGAUGACCCCAUAGGAGAAUAAGACCUAGACCUCAUCCUCCUGCCUCCUGCCAGUCCCUGCCAGGGGUCGCCAAUGGCAAAACAGGACUGGAAGCCAGAGGCCAUGGAAGCCCAUGGAUGAAGUCCACAGGCCAGCCUCCCCGAGAGCAGCCUGGACGGUCCGCAGGAGACGUCUCCUGUCUUAGGCGUCCCACGCCGCGUGCUCCUGUUCAGCCCUGCCGAGGUGGAAGCUUGGAGUGGCUCACGGUGGAUGCAUUGACGCUGCAGACGCCAGCAAGUGCUACAAACCAGAGCUGGCCUUUAACUCAGACUGAUGGAGAAGGUGUUAAUAAUGCAGAUUAGACUUAAAAGUGUUGAAGCCAUUGCACUGUGAACAGCAAAAAAAUUGAAGAACUCUUCUGGCAUUUAAAAACAAUUACUCAGUUCAGCAGAGAAGUCACUGACAAACGAGAUCACACUGACUGCUUUGUCGUUUUGGUUUUGUCUUACUCAUUAAUGCAAAUAAGAACAUUCACUAGCAUCUGUGUCGGGCCUACCCUCCCUGGUCAAAUACAGCUACAGUCUCCCUGCAGAAACGAGUUUUCCAGAAAUGAGCCGAUGUUUUCUGCGAGAAUCAAUUGGUCAUAUACAAUUUACAAAAAUGAGUACUGUAUACUAUAUUUGUAAACUGUACACUGCAGAUGCUUUAUUUCACUGAAAUUUAUAAUACACUUAUCCAUGUAUAUGCAUGCAUGCAUUUUUGUUCCUGAGAUCCAGCUGUGAAAUGUUUACCAGCACAUAAAUUACCAGCACAUGCUCUUUUUUGUUAACCUACUAGGUAAAAUCUUCAUUUAUUACAUCAAAUUCUUGUAGUUUUUGUAUUGCAAUUAUGCAGAUAUUGAUUAUCGCAGUAUUACUGCAAUUAUACAGAUACCACAAUUUCAGAUAUUGAUCAGCGUGUUCAGUUGGUUUCUAAGGAGGUUUACUUACCUCAUGGUACACCUAGUUUGCAUAGUUUGAUUAUAUUUAACUCUUAUGCUAAUUGGGGGAAGUCAUUGAUUUAUUGGACAGAUGCACCUGUGGUCUUCCCUGAGCACAUCCUGGCCAAGGAUGCUGCCCCCAGGAGAUUUGAGAAGUCCUGUAAGGAUCAUAUCAGUAUUUUCAAAUACUUAUAGAAAAGCCAGAGGGAUUGACCCAGAAUUACCAAUAUAAGCUUGACCCUGAGAUAACAAUGCCAUUUUAUGUUUGCAUGCAUAAAACCAAUGCAAGAGGCUGAUGACUCCAGAUCCCUUAUAUAAGCCAAUAAAAAGUAGUUUCAUUUUUUAUUUCAUUUAAAAAAGUGUACCAUUAACCUAAAGCCUGCUUGUAAAACCAGUUUGUUUCUGAAGCAUUAGCUCAAAGCUCACUUGCAUUUGGUGAGAAGUCCCUCACGUGUGGCUGCCCUGGCUGGGAGCUCUGAGCUCUGGGAGCCAUUGGAACUGCUAAUCCCACCAGUGCCGUCUGAUUCCCUCUGCUCUAAUGGAGGUCUUUUGCCGGGUAUCCAGUGGCAUUUUCUGGGCUUGGGAGUCAGUAAUUCCCAGUGAUCAAGUGUCUCUGCUCUGAAAAUGCCUUUCUUUGUGAUAUGAAGCUGUCAGUGAUGGAGACUGACCUUUUCAUAAGUCAGUGAAUUUAGUUUCUUUCUCCUCAGCAGUGUCUGGGGGCUGGUCCUCAGCC